Molecule: ribosomal RNA, 484 nt
Filed under: uncultured bacterium
Lineage: Bacteria
Description: partial 16S ribosomal RNA
Rfam family: Bacterial small subunit ribosomal RNA
Source: RNAcentral
GACGAACGCUGGCGGCGUGCUUAACACAUGCAAGUCGAACGAUGAAGCUGGAGCUUGCUCUAGCGGAUUAGUGGCGAACGGGUGAGUAACACGUGAGCAAUCUGCCCUUGACUCUGGGAUAACUGCGGGAAACUGUAGCUAAUACCGGAUACUUUCACCGGGGGGCAUCCUCUGGUGAUGAAAGAAUUUCGGUCAAGGAUGAGCUCGCGGCCUAUCAGCUUGUUGGUGAGGUAACGGCUCACCAAGGCGACGACGGGUAACCGGCCUGAGAGGGGGGCCGGUCACACUGGGACUGAGACACGGCCCAGACUCCUACGGGAGGCAGCAGUGGGGAAUAUUGCACAAUGGGCGCAAGCCUGAUGCAGCAACGCCGCGUGAGGAAUGAAGGCCUUCGGGUUGUAAACCUCUUUUAGCAGGGAAGAAGCGAAAGUGACGGUACCUGCAGAAAAAGCACCGGCUAACUACGUGCCAGCCGCCGCAGUAA